Molecule: ribosomal RNA, 272 nt
Filed under: Acinetobacter baumannii
Lineage: Bacteria; Pseudomonadati; Pseudomonadota; Gammaproteobacteria; Moraxellales; Moraxellaceae
Description: partial 23S ribosomal RNA
Rfam family: Bacterial large subunit ribosomal RNA
Source: RNAcentral
GGAGCCAUCCUUGAAAUACCACCCUGAAUUUUUCUGAUGUCUAACCGCGACCAGUUAGCCUGGUCCGGGACCCUGUAUGGUGGGCAGUUUGACUGGGGCGGUCGCCUCCCAAAGUGUAACGGAGGCGCGCGAUGGUGGGCUCAGGCCGGUCGGAAACCGGCUGUUGAGUGCAAUGGCAUAAGCCCGCCUGACUGCGAGAGUGACAGCUCGAGCAGAGACGAAAGUCGGCCAUAGUGAUCCGGUGGUCCCGCGUGGAAGGGCCAUCGCUCAAC